AGUGCGUCCACGCUUAAUUGGUUGCACAAAGACCAAGCCAGGAUGAUCAGACACGGAUUCAUCAAGCCAGGUGAAACCAAUCCUGGAUAGGUGCGCGCUCACGGCUCACUCAACUAGACCCCGCCACCGAUCACAGAUUCACCGAUUCACCAUGGCAACUAGCGGCGUUCUUUUCCCCGUCAGAGGCACAAAUCCAUACGAGGAGGUAAAAGACAUAAUUAAGAAGAAAGGCAACACCGCCACAGUGGUAAAGCAGAGAGAAAAAGCGUGGCAAAGUAUUGCAGACCGCCUGAAUGCGUCAUUUUGCUCAUCAAGAAAAUGCAUCUUAAUUCAAGAAUUUUUGAUAUUUUUACUGAAAACAAGACAACAAUAGAAAGUAAGUCAUUUUUUGCAGUGUGACUCCAUUGAAUGUUCUUGUGUGUUAAAGAAAGUCUCUCUUUUUGUGUGUGGUGUUGUGUGAUGUAGAUUAAAUAUGACCGGGCCAAAACGGACAUGGCAGCAGGUCAAAAUCAAAAUCUGCAGAAUGCAGUGAAAAAGAAUACCCAGAGACAAGGCACGGGUGGUGGGUCACCAAAAGCUGACCUCACCCCAGCAGAGGCCAGCUUUGGAGCUAAAUAAAGGCAGGCCUGUUGGAGGGGAUCCCUGGGGGAAAAGAGAAAAGCAUAGGUCCCUCACAAGAUGCCACCCGCUUCAUACAAGGUAUGUUCUUCCAUCUCUACAUGGGACACAAUCACAUUCAUAUUGAAUCUAUUUGGACUGUCUGACUUUGGUUUGCCUAUUGCCUUGUAGUGUCUGGCAGCACUGUGUUACUGUUAAAGCCACCAGCACGAGCACCUGACGAUGCUGAUCCAGACCCAGAGUCAUUGGUGCACUGGACUGCACAAACAUAAGGAUAAAAGCCCCCUCAGGUGCCCAUGAGGCAGAUUUUGUAAAUAUGAAAUCUUUUUACAGCAUUAAUGUUCAGGUGAACAUAACUUUUUGAUCUUUUCCAUUGAACACUGGCAAAAUGGCCUGGCUCAGUCCAUGACUCCAGAAUCUUUUGGACCUCUGAAAUCUAUCAGCGCCUAUCACAAGGUGAAUUCUCUGGUGUGUUGCUGGUAGACAGGGGGUAAGGCUGCCAGCCGUUUUUCCUGACACCUUUCACAGACCCCCAGGAAGCACAGCAGGCCUACAACUAUGCCCAUGCUAGGGCCAGAGUUGAAAUGACCUUUGGCCUCCUGAAGGCACGCUCUCACUGCCUUCACAAAUUACGGGUCAGCCCUUUGAGGGAUUGUGACAUUACUGUGGCUUGUGGUGUCCUCCACAAUGUGGCCUGCCUGAGGAAGGAGAGGGCACCCAGAGUGCCGCCAGCCAUGGACUGGGACAAUCCGAAAAUCUUCCCUGAUGACAACAGUGGUCGGCUGCUGAGGGACCAAUAUGUGUUGAAUUAUUUUA
Molecule: non-coding RNA, 1434 nt
Organism: Paramisgurnus dabryanus
Lineage: Eukaryota; Metazoa; Chordata; Actinopteri; Cypriniformes; Cobitidae
Source: RefSeq, a predicted model, not a curated record